GUGAGGAAGGUUCUGGGUUUGAAUCCUUUCACUUGUAUUUUUGUCAAUUUUUUCUAAAUCCCUAAUUUUUGGUAUUUGGUUUAAAAAAUAUUUGAGUGCAUCUAUUGAUAAGAAUGAACUUGCUAGUUCGAUGGUAAGGUGAUUGUUAGCUUACACUUUGGUCUUGAAUUUGAAUCCCUGUGUGUGCAAGUGAAAAUUGUUUUUGUUUUGAAUUAUGAAGGAAUCUGGUGAGUGGUUAUUUGUGGGACUUAGUCAGAUGUGGGUGGUAAAUUAUGGAACUUAGUGGGAUGUGGGUGGUUAAUUAUGGGACUUAGUGGGAUGUGAGUGGUUAAGAAAUUAUCCCAAAUUGUCUCUCUCACUCCUACGUUAUUUUCUUCCCCUCUUCUCUAUUUUUCUUCUUCUUUUUUAAUUUUUUUUGCUUUUCUCCAUUUCCAUUGGUUUUGCUUGUUGUCGUUUCAAUUUUGCUUUUGUGUAUGUGUAUAAGAUUCGCUCUUCGAUCGUAGUUCAAAGCAUGGUGUAAGUUUGUCAAGCUAUUUUUUCUGUUAUUUUAGUUUUAAUUUGUUAUUGAAUAAGAUUUGAGGUGUUGGUGUUUAGUUUUCAUUCCACGUUAUGUUAAGUAUGUUCGUGAUUUUGAUUAGGAGAAAGGUACGAAAACCAAAACCCUCUAGCAAAAUAGAUACGGUUUCGACAUGUUUCGGAAAAGAUUCGGAGUGUGAUUUUGCACGGUUUAUCAAAAUUAUCAUCAGCUCACCUGCAUCAAUAUAAGUCGCAUACCACUAUGACCCGAUGUGAUUGGAUGGAUGGACUCUUGUAGUCUUAUUUGGUGUGAUUGGUUGGGCGGAGUUAGUGUGUAGCGGAUGGAGGUGUACUUCUGACUUAGGUCUUGGCGGCGACUUCGGAGCUCGGUUCACACAAUUUGGUUUAAGUUGAUUAGGUUUUUUUUUUUAAAUUUUGGACUUUACGGUCUUUCAAAUUUUAAUUUGUUUUGGAG
Long non-coding RNA from Gossypium raimondii (Peruvian cotton), 991 nucleotides. RefSeq lists it as uncharacterized. NCBI's taxonomy places the organism in Eukaryota, Viridiplantae, Streptophyta, Magnoliopsida, Malvales, Malvaceae. The transcript has 4 exons. The record is from RefSeq and is a predicted model, not a curated record.